AGUGCGCGGCUUACCAUGCAGUCGACGAUGACGCCCUUCAGGGUGGAUUAUUGGCGAACGGGUGAGUAACACGUGGGCAAUCUGCCCUUCCCUCUGGGACAAGCCCUGGAAACGGGGUCUAAUACCGGAUAUAACUUCCGUCGGCUUCGGGUGAACUGGAAAGCUCCGGCGGUGAAGGAUGAGCCCGCGACCUAUCAUCUUGUUGGUGGGGUAAUGGCCUACCAAGGCGACAACGGGUAGACGGCCUGAUAGGGCGACCGGACACUCUGGGACUGAGACACUGACCAAACUCCUACAGGAGGCAGCAAUGGGGAAUAUUGCACAAUGGGAGAAAGCCUGAUGCCCCGACCCCGCGUGAGGGAUGACGGCCUUCAGGUUGUAAACCUCUUUCACCAUGUAAUAAGCAAGAAUGACGGUACCUGCAAAACAAGCGCCGGCUAACUACGUGCCAGCAGCCGCGGUAAUACAUAGGGCGCAAGCGUUGUCCGGAAUUAUUGGGGGUAAAGAGCUCGUAGGCAGCUUGUCACGUCGGGUGUGAAAGCCCGGGGCUUAACCCCGGGUCUGCAUCCGAUACGGGCAGGCUAGAGUGUGGUAGGGGAGAUCGGAAUUCCUGGUGUAGCGGUAAAAUGCGCAGAUAUCAGGAGGAACACCGGUGGCGAAGGCGGAUCUCUGGGCCAUUACUGACGCUGAGGAGCGAAAGCGUGGGGAGCGAACAGGAUUAGAUACCCUGGUAGUCCACGCCGUAAACGUUGGGAACUAGGUGUUGGCGACAUUCCACGUCGUCGGUGCCGCAGCUAACGCAUUAAGUUCCCCGCCUGGGGAGUACGGCCGCAAGGCUAAAACUCAAAGGAAUUGACGGGGGCCCGCACAAGCAGCGGAGCAUGUGGCUUAAUUCGACGCAACGCGAAGAACCUUACCAAGGCUUGACAUAUACCGGAAAGCAUUAGAGAUAGUGCCCCCCUUGUGGUCGGUAUACAGGUGGUGCAUGGCUGUCGUCAGCUCGUGUCGUGAGAUGUUGGGUUAAGUCCCGCAACGAGCGCAACCCUUGUCCUGUGUUGCCAGCAUGCCCUUCGGGGUGAUGGGGACUCACAGGAGGCCGCCGGGGUCAACUAGGAGGAAGGAGGGGAGGACGUCAAGUCAUCAUCCCCGCCAUGUCUUGCAGGGCACACCUGCUACAAUGGCCGGUACAAAGAGGGGCGACGCCCCGAGGAGGACAAAAUCUCAAAAAGCCGGUCUCAGUUCUGAUUGGGGUCUGCAACUCGACCCCAUGAAGUCGGAGUUGCUAGUAAUCGCAGAUCAGCAUUGCUGCGGUGAAUACGUUCCCGGGCCUCUACACACCGCCCGUCACGUCACGAAAGUCGGUAACACCCGAAGCCGCGGCCCAACCACUUCGGGAGGAGC
RNAcentral lists this ribosomal RNA (1401 nucleotides) under Streptomyces sp. RNAcentral describes it as "bacterial SSU rRNA". It matches the Rfam family "Bacterial small subunit ribosomal RNA". Lineage: Bacteria; Bacillati; Actinomycetota; Actinomycetes; Kitasatosporales; Streptomycetaceae. The record is from RNAcentral.